RNAcentral lists this ribosomal RNA (462 nucleotides) under uncultured bacterium. RNAcentral describes it as "partial 16S ribosomal RNA". It matches the Rfam family "Bacterial small subunit ribosomal RNA", at positions 28 to 507 of the family's 1533-position model. The record is from RNAcentral.
GACGAACGCUGGCGGCGUGCUUAACACAUGCAAGUCGAGCGGAAAGUCCCUUCGUGGUACUCGAGCGGCGAACGGGUGAGUAACACGUGAGUAACCUUCCCCAGACUUUGGGAUAACCCUCUGCAACUGGGGCUAAUACCGUAUACGACACAGCUUCGCAUGGGGUCUGUGUGGAAGGGUUUGCUGUGUGGGAUGGGAGCGCGGCGUAUCAGCUUGGUGGUGGGGUGAUGGUAGACCAAGGCGACGACGGGUAGCAGGCCUGAGCGGGCGACCGGCCAAGCUGGGACUGAGCUACGGCACAGCCCACACCGGGAGGCAGCAGUGCGGAAUAUUGCACUAUGGGCGGAAGCCUGAUGCAGCGAAGCCGCGUGGCGGAUGACGGCCUUCGGGUUGUAAACCACUUCCCGCUGGGACGAAGCGUAAGUGACGGUACCUGCAGAAGAAGCGCCGGCUAACUCCGUG